RNAcentral lists this ribosomal RNA (465 nucleotides) under uncultured bacterium. RNAcentral's name for it is "partial 16S ribosomal RNA". It matches the Rfam family "Bacterial small subunit ribosomal RNA", at positions 28 to 507 of the family's 1533-position model. The record is from RNAcentral.
GACGAACGCUGGCGGCGUGCUUAACACAUGCAAGUCGUACGGUAAGGCCCUUUCGGGGGUACACGAGUGGCGAACGGGUGAGUAACACGUGAGUAACCUGCCCACAACUUUGGGAUAACGCUAGGAAACUGGUGCUAAUACUGGAUAUGUGCUCCUGCUGCAUGGUGGGGGUUGGAAAGCUCCGGCGGUUGUGGAUGGACUCGCGGCCUAUCAGCUUGUUGGUGGGGUAGUGGCCUACCAAGGCGGCGACGGGGAGCCGGCCUGAGAGGGUGACCGGCCACAAUGGGACUGAGAUACGGCCCAGACUCCUACGGGAGGCAGCAGGGGGGAAUAUUGCACAAGGGGCGCAAGCCUGAUGCAGCAACGCCGCGGGCGGGAUGACGGCCUUCGGGUUGUAAACCGCUUUCAGCAGGGACGAAGCUUUUUGUGACGGUACCUGCAGAAGAAGCACCGGCUAACUACGUG